AAAUCAUGAUUUCCAUUUCUUUCCACCAGUUCUGACACUUCCGAAGCAAUGCUCUCACUCUAUGGCAAAGAAAGCAAAAGCAGCCCAGAAAACCCCUUUCCUUCCUCUCCACUGACCUGACCGCCCUUUCUGUUUUUUACAUCUGUCCAUCUGGUGAGGAAAAGAUUGAUUCUAGGAACGCGUUGGGAUCGCUCUGCCAGAAAGGAAAAAGCCGUGUAGACUGUGACGCCAAGUUAACCCUGGGAGGCUGAGGCUGCUAGUCUGCCAUUGCGCAGGGCAGCUGCAAGCAGUGAAGAAAUUUCGAGGCGAGGUGGCCGCUCGCUGCUGUCUGCUCAGGCGGCGCCGAGGCCCGUUCCUGCCAGCGUCGCGCUCCGGCCUCCGCCAGCCUCCCGUGUGCUGCUUGCUGCCCCAGCCGUGAGUCAUCAGAGAUGCUGAGGCUCCUCUAGCUUCGCGUUCCUGGCAGAGGUGUGGUUCCCUCCUAAAAGCGGAGGGGAGAGUUGCUAAGGAACACCCUUCACGUGCUGAGGGCACAACAGUCUUGCAGAGUUCGGGCUGCAGCCGUUCGACUCUCAUCAGAAAAUCAUCUUUGGAAAGAUUUGCCAGUGUACGAAAGCUCCCGAACUAAAUUAGGACCGGGAUCGUUCUCCCCUCCUCUUCCGAUCUGCAGUGCCUGGCAGAUCGGAGCCAUCACGAUUCUGUGCGUGUAAUGAAUUCCUGCCUGUCUCUAGGAAAUUAAGGGGGGCAGCUUCCUGUCCUGCGGUGGUGCCGGCAGACAGCGCUGGGGACAGAAAGGUAAAGGGGCCAGAGAUCUGGGUAGAUGCUCCCCGGAAUGCAGCGUGAGCCUCUUCUAGGGAUCAGGUGACAAAGUCAAGGUUAUGUCCUUGCAUCUGUGCACAGAGGCUUUAGAGGUCCCUCUUCUCAGCACCCAGAGAGCCCAGUCUUCACCCACUCGUUCCGGCCUUCAUUUCUUUGGGCUUCGGAUGUGUGCAGAAACACCAUGGUGUCAGCUGAGAGCAGUAUCCUCCCGGGCCGUGGGCUUUGUGCUCCUGGUGCCCACUCCUCUCAUCAGAGGGGACUGUGUCGGUAAACAGUCCUCCGGUCACCCAGACAGGAAAAGUUCCCGAACCACAAGAUCUUAUACAGAAGAGGAGCCUGUGACCUCACUGCAAUUCUAGGAGAACAGUCACGCGUGCAGGUCAAGACCGAUGCUCCCAGGAAAUAUGACGCUUGAUGUCUUCCUCUUCUAACUCUGGGACGCGUCCCCCAGGAUUCCCCAGAGGAUGUGCAAACACCUGAGCUCUGAUCAAGCCAGCCGGUUUUUGUAUGAGGGCUUCUGUCCUCCCCACGGUCGGAACUCUGAGAGGCCUCCUGUGACCAGGGUGGAAGAUACAUCCUCCUCUCCCAUCAGGGCUGAGCACAUGGAAUGCAGAGGUCAGCAUAGCCCUACAGCAGGGAGCAGGGGCUCUCCAAGGCCCAGACCCUUUGCACUGGGACAGUUCCCGCUCUAAGACGGCAGUUCCACGGGGUGCAGCACAGCUGAUGACAGCCCCUGGGCCUAUGGAGCUCUGGUUUUACGCUUCAGUAAUAACAACUGUACUUCAGUAGUGACCUUCCUCAGCGGGAUCUGAGCACAGAAAUGACGUCUUCUGUAAUUGAGUCCUUCCUGGUCCACACCCCAUUCUACCUGUGCUCUGCAUGCUUGAGGGACUUGGUAAAUGUUUGGCAAUAGAUAAUAGCAGAAUCUGUUGUCACACUAGCAUUGGCAGAACUAAUUCUGGCCAGAAAUGACACUGUGCCACUGUGUGUUCACUCUUCAUCCCUUCUUUCAUUCCGUGAGUAUCUCUUGAGCAUCGGCCUGAGUACUACAUGCUGCCUUGCAAUAAAUGUGUGUGUUCGC
Long non-coding RNA from Fukomys damarensis (Damara mole-rat), 1897 nucleotides. RefSeq lists it as uncharacterized. The record is from RefSeq and is a predicted model, not a curated record. Lineage: Eukaryota; Metazoa; Chordata; Mammalia; Rodentia; Bathyergidae. The transcript is spliced from 6 exons.